GUCCAGGGAUGGGAAUCGAACCCACAGUGUUCCGCUUACCGGGCAGAUGCCAUGACCACUAGGCUACCCUGGA
Non-coding RNA from Cordylochernes scorpioides, 73 nucleotides. Lineage: Eukaryota; Metazoa; Arthropoda; Arachnida; Pseudoscorpiones; Chernetidae. The record is from the annotation of a GenBank genome assembly.